Non-coding RNA from Cytospora paraplurivora, 88 nucleotides. The record is from the annotation of a GenBank genome assembly. NCBI's taxonomy places the organism in Eukaryota, Fungi, Ascomycota, Sordariomycetes, Diaporthales, Cytosporaceae.
GCGUCGAUAGAGUAGUGGUGAACUCACCUCCCUCCCAAUUUACAUAGGUGUUCAGGAGGAGACUCGGGUUCGAACCCCGAUCGUCGCA